UGCCCCAUGGCUGAGUUGGUUACAGUGUCCGACUAUUAUCCUCAAUUUAUAACAACAUCGAAAGCUCGAGAGUUCGACCCUCUCUGGAGCAG
Non-coding RNA from Desarmillaria ectypa, 92 nucleotides. Lineage: Eukaryota; Fungi; Basidiomycota; Agaricomycetes; Agaricales; Physalacriaceae. The record is from the annotation of a GenBank genome assembly.